Molecule: long non-coding RNA, 100 nt
Organism: Ornithodoros turicata
Lineage: Eukaryota; Metazoa; Arthropoda; Arachnida; Ixodida; Argasidae
Exons: 3
Source: RefSeq, a predicted model, not a curated record
CUCAGCAAGCCAACAGGUUACCGAACUGCGGCGCAGGAAUUUGACGAACACGACAGGCAGCAUCUUGCAGAUGCAAUUCGUUGCUCCAUUAAAACGGUGC